This 208-nucleotide non-coding RNA is filed under the name uncultured Desulfatiglans sp. Lineage: Bacteria; Pseudomonadati; Thermodesulfobacteriota; Desulfobacteria; Desulfatiglandales; Desulfatiglandaceae. The record is from RNAcentral.
CAAGCGCGCAGUUGUUCAGGUGCUCGUGAAGAGCCUAACAGGGAACCCCGUGCGAAUCGGGGACGGACCCGCCGCUGUAACCCCUCCCUUUUCAGCUUGAGAAGGGAACUGCUUUGGCACCAAUGGCCACUGCCCGUCAUAAGCCGGGUGGGAAGGCCGCCGGAGUGGGGGGGAAGUCAGAAGACCUGCCUGAUCGCAUGGCCCUCGU